CCUACGGGGGGCUGCAGUGAGGAAUAUUGGUCAAUGGGCGGGAGCCUGAACCAGCCAAGCCGCGUGAGGGAAGAAGGUACAGCGUAUCGUAAACCUCUUUUGUCAGGGAACAAAGGCGGGGACUAGUCCCCGGAUGAGGGUACCUGAAGAAAAAGCAUCGGCUAACUCCGUGCCCGCAGCCGCGGUAAUACGGAGGAUGCGAGCGUUGUCCGGAUUUAUUGGGGUUAAAGGGUGCGCAGGCGGCCUGUUAAGUCAGCGGUAAAAGCCCGGGGCGCAACCCCGGCGAGCCGUUGAAACUGGCGGGCUUGAGUUGGAGAGAAGGACGCAGAAUGCGCGGUGUAGCGGUGAAAUGCUUAGAGAUCGGGCAGAACCCCGAUUGCGAAGGCAGCGUACCGGCUCCACACUGACGCUGAGGCACGAAAGCGUGGGUAUCGAACAGGAUUAGAUACCCCUGUAGUC
This 459-nucleotide ribosomal RNA is filed under the name uncultured bacterium. Its description in RNAcentral is "partial 16S ribosomal RNA". It matches the Rfam family "Bacterial small subunit ribosomal RNA", at positions 338 to 795 of the family's 1533-position model. The record is from RNAcentral.